AAGUCGUAACAAGGUUUCCGUAGGUGAACCUGCGGAAGGAUCAUUAACACGUAUCCAACGUUAAACAACCCUGUGAACCUUGAACGUGCUCUCGCACACGCUCUAGCAGCAAUCCCUGGUAAAUCAUUGUUGACCAGCUAUUGAGUCAGGGACCUCUGCUUUAAAACGAUGCGAUACGAGCGCCAGAGUAAGUGCGGCCUGGCAUCCUAGCAAUCUAUCAGUGGUUGCGCAAGGAUGGCGCAGUAAACGAUCGCUGGAGGCCCACACGGCCGGCGACCGGGCCUCUGUGCUUCGGCACCUAACGACCCCAUGUUUCGUACCCGGUGCGCUGUAACAACCGCACCACAAACUCGAACAACUGUUAACAAUGGAUAUCUUGGUUCUC
RNAcentral lists this unclassified non-coding RNA (385 nucleotides) under fungal sp. RNAcentral describes it as "partial internal transcribed spacer region". The stretch from base 1 to 46 matches the Rfam family "Eukaryotic small subunit ribosomal RNA", at positions 1786 to 1831 of the family's 1831-position model. Lineage: Eukaryota; Fungi. The record is from RNAcentral.